Molecule: ribosomal RNA, 473 nt
Filed under: Bacillus sp. NSi04
Lineage: Bacteria; Bacillati; Bacillota; Bacilli; Caryophanales; Bacillaceae
Description: bacterial SSU rRNA
Rfam family: Bacterial small subunit ribosomal RNA
Source: RNAcentral
GGGCCCGCGGCGCAUUAGCUAGUUGGUGAGGUAAUGGCUCACCAAGGCGACGAUGCGUAGCCGACCUGAGAGGGUGAUCGGCCACACUGGGACUGAGACACGGCCCAGACUCCUACGGGAGGCAGCAGUAGGGAAUCUUCCGCAAUGGACGAAAGUCUGACGGAGCAACGCCGCGUGAACGAAGAAGGCCUUCGGGUCGUAAAGUUCUGUUGUUAGGGAAGAACAAGUACCAGAGUAACUGCUGGUACCUUGACGGUACCUAACCAGAAAGCCACGGCUAACUACGUGCCAGCAGCCGCGGUAAUACGUAGGUGGCAAGCGUUGUCCGGAAUUAUUGGGCGUAAAGCGCGCGCAGGUGGUUCCUUAAGUCUGAUGUGAAAGCCCACGGCUCAACCGUGGAGGGUCAUUGGAAACUGGGGAACUUGAGUGCAGAAGAGGAAAGUGGAAUUCCAAGUGUAGCGGUGAAAUGCGUA